UAACAUUUAAUAGGAAUGAUUGUACAAGUGGUUUUUAAUACAGUGUUUAAAUGUUGUAAACACAUACUUUUUAAUCUUUUAUAUUAACAUAUAUUUGUCUUCGUAGAUCUAUUACUUACGUAGUUACGUGUACAAAUUAUUAUAAUAAAUUGUUUUGUCCUUGUUAAACACCGUCGGAGUUUCGGUUUUGCACGUCGCGUGCCGUACCCAUCACAACAGUCAACCAGUUAAAUGUUCUGCAAAUCAUUUCCUGGUCAAACGGAUAAUUUGUUGUAGUCUUGUAGAGGACACUCAUCGAUCACAAUACGAUUAUUGCUUACUAUGUCCAAAGUGAUGAGUCAGUCGUCUACCGUUUCAAUGGACCGUUCCGUGAUUGACGAUUGUACAUUUGUACCUUUUAGUGUGAGCGGAAAGUGCGUUGUCGUGUUCGCUUUAUCAGUCUCAAGUGUCGUUCACCGUAUACUGAUAUUGUUGUACUGUUCAUCACACAAAGAAUAAUAUGUCGUGUAAAAUAUAAUACGUUCUUCCAAAAAUAUAUUUAUACUUAACUUAAACAAAUAGUAUAAUUGUUUUAAAUAUAAACAUUUUUGAAAAGUGAUUUUUAAUAAUAAUAACAAUACCUACCGCUUUUUAAUUUAAUUGUUAUUGUUAUACUUUAAUGAUAUAAUUUUUACAUUUUUGUGAUUUUUAUCACUAAUGAUAAUCCUGUAAAACAAGUGACACUGCCGGAGAGUGAUUUAUUUUAUCUACCUGUCGUGUCUUAUUUUCUUUGUUUAAGCAUACUUGCUUAUUCGGCAAAUUGUAAAUUUUUUUUUUCACAGGUUGUAUAUUAAAGUGUUGAUAAAUGUUAAGAGAAUAGAAAAAAAAUAUUGCCAACGAAUAUAGGUUCGACAUGAUUUUAGCAAAUAUUAAUAUUUUUCUAUAGCUAUCGUUCCUCUAUCUACAAAUAUUAAAAGAUUGUGAGUUUUGAUAAACAUUUUAUAACAGUUUAUUUCAGUUAUUUUUAACAUUCGUAGUCAUAAUAAAUAUGUACUAUUGUCUUAUCUUUUUUUCACCCAUCGUAAAAAAUGUAAUGUAUGAUAUCGCAAAGUUUUUAGUUACCUAGAUAAAUCUCACGGACAAGGCUACAUUUAUUCAUUUUGCCACCCUACAUUGCCUUCAUAAUGAUUUUCUUUUAUCUAAUAUUAUCUUGUAAUAAUGUAAUCAAUAAAAUAUAAUGACUUAUUUUUUUCGGAAACAUCAGUAUUUUAUAAUAUAUCUAAUAAAUAUGAUUUAUUAGAUACAUUAUAUUGUUAU
This is a long non-coding RNA of Aphis gossypii (cotton aphid), 1296 nucleotides long. RefSeq lists it as uncharacterized. Lineage: Eukaryota; Metazoa; Arthropoda; Insecta; Hemiptera; Aphididae. The record is from RefSeq and is a predicted model, not a curated record. The transcript is spliced from 3 exons.